UACGAAGGGAGCGAGCGUUGUUCGGAAUCACUGGGCUUAAAGCGUGCGUAGGCGGAUGUGUAAGUCAGAAGUGAAAGCCCAGGGCUUAACCCUGGAAUUGCUUUUGAGACUGCAUAUCUAGAAUCCGGUAGAGGUCAGUGGAAUACCCAGUGUAGAGGUGAAAUUCGCAGAUAUUGGGUGGAACACCAGUGGCGAAGGCGACUGACUGGGCCGGUAUUGACGCUGAGGCACGAAAGCGUGGGUAGCAAACAGG
This 253-nucleotide ribosomal RNA is filed under the name uncultured bacterium. RNAcentral's name for it is "partial 16S ribosomal RNA". It matches the Rfam family "Bacterial small subunit ribosomal RNA", at positions 524 to 776 of the family's 1533-position model. The record is from RNAcentral.